This is a long non-coding RNA of Physeter macrocephalus (sperm whale), 693 nucleotides long. RefSeq lists it as uncharacterized. The record is from RefSeq and is a predicted model, not a curated record. The transcript is spliced from 3 exons. Lineage: Eukaryota; Metazoa; Chordata; Mammalia; Artiodactyla; Physeteridae.
UUUUGACCCUCCGGCCCUACGAGAUUCCGGUUUUUCCCUUCCACAGGGUAGGGACGUUUUUGGGGAAACUCCUGUGAGGUCACUGUGACUCACCCUGAAAGCAAGCUCUUUCUGCUCAGUGGGGUUGGGGAUACAGGAAGGAACAAGGCAGAGAUUAUCAUCAGUGGUAAACUGAAGCACAGAGAAGUCAAGCCACUUGCCUGAAGUCACACAGCUGGCAAAUACUGAGUCUGGGAUUCAGCACAGAGCCUGGCAAGAAUGAACUGGCCCAUAAAGGAUUGAGAACUGGGUUCUCUCUGAGCCACAUUUAUUAACUGGGAGCUUGAGACUGUCACUCUUCUUCCAGCCUCAGAAAACCCCACCUGGCUGGAGUCGGACCCCCCUGGGCUGGAGGUAGGCUUCCUUGCAUUGGGCCACAAGCUGUGGGCCAGUCAGGAUGAAAGCAGGGCCCUGAAUUCAUCGAGGGCUGCCCCGUUCUCCCUGCCAUGCCACAGAUCCUGCUAUCAGGGCCAGAUCUGGGCUUUGUGCCAGUCCUGGACCUGCUGCCAACAGGGGGGCCGUAGAACACCUGCGCUCAGGACUGUGAGCCAGUCCCAGCCCUUCUCACCUAUUCCUGGGAACGAAUCUAAAAUCCCCCAUCACUGUCCCCAGGAAGGCAAAUAAAGUCUUUCAACAUGCAGUUCCUGGGUUCAU